UGGCAAGCGUUGUCCGGAUUUAUUGGGCGUAAAGCGAGCGCAGGCGGUCUUUUUAAGUCUGAUGUGAAAGCCUUCGGCUUAACCGAAGAAGGGCAUCGGAAACUGGGAGACUUGAGUGCAGAAGAGGAGAGUGGAACUCCAUGUGUAGCGGUGAAAUGCGUAGAUAUAUGGAAGAACACCAGUGGCGAAGGCGGCUGCCUGGUCUGUAACUGACGCUGAGGCUCGAAAGUAUGGGUAGC
RNAcentral lists this ribosomal RNA (239 nucleotides) under uncultured bacterium. RNAcentral describes it as "partial 16S ribosomal RNA". It matches the Rfam family "Bacterial small subunit ribosomal RNA", at positions 532 to 769 of the family's 1533-position model. The record is from RNAcentral.